GUAUUCAGUAUUUUUCUACUAGGACACAGUUGACAGCCCAUAAAAGUCUCUGCUUAAGUAAGAAGUCCGUUUCUGUGAACCAUCAUCCGGACACAUGCAACACCAGACAGUGUGUCUCACAUCCAAGUUUAUUGACAGGGUAGAUUUCCCAUAAGGAUAGAAACACGAGCAAAGGAACCAGGAGGCACCUUCUCCCUCGGAUUGCUGCACAGCAUCUCCCUUUUAAUGACAAAAGCAAACAGAGGUGGGAAGCGGCUAUCUUCUCCAAAGUCUAACUGCUCAGCCUUCAAAUUAGUGUCAACAAGAAAGGAAUAGAUUAGCCGAAGGUCGCAGCACACACGCCUUCCCUUUUUCUUAGUAAGACUGUUUUGCUCCGUCCCACCCUGGCUAAUCCCUCUCUUCCCACUACUGGAAACUCAGAUAUUAACCAAAGCUGUGAGUCUCUUUGCCUAGUGCUUUUCUGCUAAAGCUUGGCUGAGAGAUGAAUCCAUGGAAUGUAAGUGACCUACUGGCUCAGUUAAUGACGCCUGGCCUCCCUUCCGGGGCAAUAACUUCCCUCCAGUCACUUAGCUCUGCUUGUCUCAGCUGGAGUCCACCAACAGGCUGGAUACCCACUCCCUCCCCAGGAGCGGAGAACCGUCAACAUCUCAGGCAAGGGAGGGAAAGAGGUCAGUGAAUCACAGGUGCUGAUGGGCGUCUCUGUGGCUCCAACUCUACUCAGCAGAAGGUGAGGACAGUUUUGCCGUCUUCGGUCCUGUGAGUGUCAGAGAUUGAGCAGAAGUUUCAGAGGCUUUACUCUCUGUUCCCCCCAAGAUUCCUCUGCUGACGUUCUGCAACCAGGCAGCCCACUCUGCCACACCACUUCUCUAAGUCUGAUUCUCUGAAUCUGGAAGUUCCAGGAAACCAGAGGCCGGGUCUAACGAUGGUACUCUGUGCACCCAGCCAAACCGUUUCUCCAGAGACCUUGGUUCUUGGUAACAAUGUCUCUUCUUGGCUCGAUUAUUUAGCGAGAAGCUGGGGCUGGAUAAGAUGGGUUCCACGGCUCACUGGGGUUGGCCAUUAAAGUGUCUGGAACACUCCUGGUUGUACUCAGAUCCCCCGUGAGCUCCAUGCUUGUGCUCUGGUUGUUAUCUGGCCCUUGUGGUGUCUUCUUCCGCAGGCAGCGGUUGAUCAGGGUGGAGAAGAAGUUGGGAAAAGAUGGGCUGGAGAAGUAGUACACCAAAGGGUCCAGCAUGCUGUUCAUGUAGGUGAAGCUGAGGGUGAUGAAAAACGCCAGGUCAACCGAGCGAUAGACGUCACAGUUCUUCGUACCCGUGGUGUGCAAGAGCCAGAAAAUG
Molecule: long non-coding RNA, 1337 nt
Filed under: Lynx pardinus (Iberian lynx)
Lineage: Eukaryota; Metazoa; Chordata; Mammalia; Carnivora; Felidae
Source: RNAcentral